Molecule: long non-coding RNA, 537 nt
Organism: Astyanax mexicanus (Mexican tetra)
Lineage: Eukaryota; Metazoa; Chordata; Actinopteri; Characiformes; Acestrorhamphidae
Exons: 3
Source: RefSeq, a predicted model, not a curated record
GUUAGUUAACUGGCUAAGUUAGCUAGGUUAUGUGUGUGUUAGUUAACUGGCUAAGUUAGCUAGGUUAUGUGUGUGUUAGUUAACUGGCUAAGUUAGCUAGGUUAUGUGUGUGUUAGUUAACUGGCUAAGUUAGCUAGGUUAUGUGUGUGUUAGUUAACUGGCUAAGUUAGCUAGGUUAUGUGUGUGUUAGUUAACUGGCUAAGUUAACUAGGUUAUGUGUGUGUUAGUUAGCUAGUUUAAAUGUGUGUUAGUUAGCUAGGUUAUGUGUGUGUUAGUUAACUGGCUAAGUUAACUAGGUUAUGUGUGUGUUAGUUAACUGGCUACGUUAGCUAGGUUAUGUGUGUGUUAGUUAACUGGCUAAGUUAGCUAGGUUAUGUGUGUGUUAGUUAACUGGCUAAGUUAACUAGGUUAUGUGUGUGUUAGUUAACUGGCUAAGUUAACUAGGUUAUGUGUGUGUUAGUUAACUGGCUAAGUUAGCUAGGUUAUGUGUGUGUUAGUUAACUGGCUAAGUUAACUAGGUUAUGUGUGUGUUAGUUA